GAUGAACGCUGGCGGCGUGCCUAAUACAUGCAAGUCGAGCGAACAGAUAAGGAGCUUGCUCCUUUGACGUUAGCGGCGGACGGGUGAGUAACACGUGGGUAACCUACCUAUAAGACUGGGAUAACUUCGGGAAACCGGAGCUAAUACCGGAUAACAUUUGGAACCGCAUGGUUCUAAAGUGAAAGAUGGUUUUGCUAUCACUUAUAGAUGGACCCGCGCCGUAUUAGCUAGUUGGUAAGGUAACGGCUUACCAAGGCAACGAUACGUAGCCGACCUGAGAGGGUGAUCGGCCACACUGGAACUGAGACACGGUCCAGACUCCUACGGGAGGCAGCAGUAGGGAAUCUUCCGCAAUGGGCGAAAGCCUGACGGAGCAACGCCGCGUGAGUGAUGAAGGGUUUCGGCUCGUAAAACUCUGCUAUUAGGGAAGAACAAAUGUGUAAGUAACUGUGCACGUCUUGACGGUACCUAAUCAGAAAGCCACGGCUAACUACGUG
RNAcentral lists this ribosomal RNA (497 nucleotides) under uncultured bacterium. RNAcentral describes it as "partial 16S ribosomal RNA". It matches the Rfam family "Bacterial small subunit ribosomal RNA", at positions 28 to 507 of the family's 1533-position model. The record is from RNAcentral.